RNAcentral lists this ribosomal RNA (1910 nucleotides) under Salmonella enterica subsp. enterica serovar Stanley. RNAcentral's name for it is "partial 23S ribosomal RNA". It matches the Rfam family "Bacterial large subunit ribosomal RNA", at positions 339 to 2236 of the family's 2925-position model. Lineage: Bacteria; Pseudomonadati; Pseudomonadota; Gammaproteobacteria; Enterobacterales; Enterobacteriaceae. The record is from RNAcentral.
CGUCUGGAAAGUCGCGCGAUACAGGGUGACAGCCCCGUACACAAAAGCGCAUGUGUUGUGAGCUCGAUGAGUAGGGCGGGACACGUGGUAUCCUGUCUGAAUAUGGGGGGACCAUCCUCCAAGGCUAAAUACUCCUGACUGACCGAUAGUGAACCAGUACCGUGAGGGAAAGGCGAAAAGAACCCCGGCGAGGGGAGUGAAAAAGAACCUGAAACCGUGUACGUACAAGCAGUGGGAGCACCCUUCGGGGUGUGACUGCGUACCUUUUGUAUAAUGGGUCAGCGACUUAUAUUCUGUAGCAAGGUUAACCGAAUAGGGGAGCCGGAGGGAAACCGAGUCUUAAUUGGGCGUUAAGUUGCAGGGUAUAGACCCGAAACCCGGUGAUCUAGCCAUGGGCAGGUUGAAGGUUGGGUAACACUAACUGGAGGACCGAACCGACUAAUGUUGAAAAAUUAGCGGAUGACCUGUGGCUGGGGGUGAAAGGCCAAUCAAACCGGGAGAUAGCUGGUUCUCCCCGAAAGCUAUUUAGGUAGCGCCUCGUGAAUUCAUCUCCGGGGGUAGAGCACUGUUUCGGCUAGGGGGCCAUCCCGGCUUACCAACCCGAUGCAAACUGCGAAUACCGGAGAAUGUUAUCACGGGAGACACACGGCGGGUGCUAACGUCCGUCGUGAAGAGGGAAACAACCCAGACCGCCAGCUAAGGUCCCAAAGUCAUGGUUAAGUGGGAAACGAUGUGGGAAGGCCCAGACAGCCAGGAUGUUGGCUUAGAAGCAGCCAUCAUUUAAAGAAAGCGUAAUAGCUCACUGGUCGAGUCGGCCUGCGCGGAAGAUGUAACGGGGCUAAACCAUGCACCGAAGCUGCGGCAGCGACACUGUGUGUUGUUGGGUAGGGGAGCGUUCUGUAAGCCUGUGAAGGUGUGUCGUGAGGCAUGCUGGAGGUAUCAGAAGUGCGAAUGCUGACAUAAGUAACGAUAAAGCGGGUGAAAAGCCCGCUCGCCGGAAGACCAAGGGUUCCUGUCCAACGUUAAUCGGGGCAGGGUGAGUCGACCCCUAAGGCGAGGCCGAAAGGCGUAGUCGAUGGGAAACGGGUUAAUAUUCCCGUACUUGGUGUUACUGCGAAGGGGGGACGGAGAAGGCUAUGUUGGCCGGGCGACGGUUGUCCCGGUUUAAGCGUGUAGGUGUGUGUUCCAGGUAAAUCCGGUUCACUUUAACACUGAGGCGUGACGACGAGGCACUACGGUGCUGAAGCAACAAAUGCCCUGCUUCCAGGAAAAGCCUCUAAGCAUCAGGUAACAUCAAAUCGUACCCCAAACCGACACAGGUGGUCAGGUAGAGAAUACCAAGGCGCUUGAGAGAACUCGGGUGAAGGAACUAGGCAAAAUGGUGCCGUAACUUCGGGAGAAGGCACGCUGACACGUAGGUGAAGUGAUUUACUCAUGGAGCUGAAGUCAGUCGAAGAUACCAGCUGGCUGCAACUGUUUAUUAAAAACACAGCACUGUGCAAACACGAAAGUGGACGUAUACGGUGUGACGCCUGCCCGGUGCCGGAAGGUUAAUUGAUGGGGUCAGCGCAAGCGAAGCUCCUGAUCGAAGCCCCGGUAAACGGCGGCCGUAACUAUAACGGUCCUAAGGUAGCGAAAUUCCUUGUCGGGUAAGUUCCGACCUGCACGAAUGGCGUAAUGAUGGCCAGGCUGUCUCCACCCGAGACUCAGUGAAAUUGAACUCGCUGUGAAGAUGCAGUGUACCCGCGGCAAGACGGAAAGACCCCGUGAACCUUUACUAUAGCUUGACACUGAACAUUGAGCCUUGAUGUGUAGGAUAGGUGGGAGGCUUUGAAGCGUGGACGCCAGUCUGCGUGGAGCCGACCUUGAAAUACCACCCUUUAAUGUUUGAUGUUCUAACGUGGACCCGU